Molecule: non-coding RNA, 79 nt
Organism: Trametes gibbosa
Lineage: Eukaryota; Fungi; Basidiomycota; Agaricomycetes; Polyporales; Polyporaceae
Source: the annotation of a GenBank genome assembly
GGUGCUAUAGUGUAGUGGUUAUCACUCGGGAUUUUGAGAAAUAUUUCCCGGAACCCAGGUUCGAACCCUGGUAGCACCU